UACGGAGGGUGCAAGCGUUAUCCGGAUUCACUGGGUUUAAAGGGUGCGUAGGUGGUUUUGUAAGUCAGUGGUGAAAGCCCGGAGCUCAACUCCGGAACUGCCAUUGAUACUGCUUAACUUGAAUCAACUUGAGGUGGAUGGAAUAUUACAUGUAGCGGUGAAAUGCUUAGAGAUGUAAUAGAACACCAAUUGCGAAGGCAGUUCACUAAGGUUGUAUUGACACUGAGGCACGAAAGCGUGGGGAUCAAACAGG
Molecule: ribosomal RNA, 253 nt
Filed under: uncultured bacterium
Lineage: Bacteria
Description: partial 16S ribosomal RNA
Rfam family: Bacterial small subunit ribosomal RNA
Source: RNAcentral